RNAcentral lists this ribosomal RNA (357 nucleotides) under Triticum aestivum (bread wheat). Its description in RNAcentral is "partial small subunit ribosomal RNA". The record is from RNAcentral. Lineage: Eukaryota; Viridiplantae; Streptophyta; Magnoliopsida; Poales; Poaceae.
AUGGGGAACAAGAUUCAGGUAUAUGAUUUGAGGUUCGUAGUGAAGAAGAGCUGUGAGAAACUGCAGUUGCCUUCUUUUAUUGGGAACAAAUACUAUGGGGAUCAAGUCAGGGAUUCAUGGCAAGGGAUUGACAAAUUUUUAUCAAAGCAGUUUGCUACACACUGCAGUGUGACAGAAAAUCCGUUUCGAAAAAAGUGUGACAGAAAAGGUGUGCUAUUGUUUCCACAUCUCCUUUUGCUAAUCACUAAUGUUUUUCCCAAGUCUUCUCUUCCUUUUUGUAUUGACCUAGAAAUAGUUUUGGCAUUGGAGUUAGUUUCUUCAAUGUUUUCAUUGUUCUUAUCGGGAAGUGUGAAGUGA